CCUUACUCCUUUAGAGGUAACACAUCACUAUUGUAUCACUCCAUCUCUUUAAGCAGUGAUGCCUAAACUUCAAUUGUACUUGUUCCACAUGAAUUUUAUUGUCAUUCAGUUGUAGCAUGUUAAUCAUGCUAGAAUUUUUUUAGGAAUCCAUCACAUAUGCUAGUUUUCAAAUAGCUAUGCAUUAUCAGUGAACUAUUUUAGUUAAUUUUAGGUGCAAAUAUAACAUCUAAUUCUUUUUAUUAACUUGGUGAUAUCCUCAGAAUAUGAAUUAUUGGUGAAUGUGCAGUUAAGGGUUCUCUUUGAACUAUUUUAGCUAUUAAUUUGGGUGCAGAUAUGCUAAAUAAUUGUUUCUGUUGAGUAGUUGAGUCCUUCAAUCGUUCUUAGAGGUGAUGUCCUUAAAAGAAUCCGUAUAGCCUGAAAUUUGUUUAUUGUUGCUGCUUUUGUAACUUGUUGAUGUUGAACAACUUUAGUGCAUAUGAAUAAAUUAAACAAUCUGAUAUGGGAAAAGUUUCAUCAUCAUAACAUGGGGUUAGAGUUAUUUUCCUCCCUUCAUCUGAUUUGCGGAGAGGCUGAUGGUAAAGGCAGGAUCUCUUGUCAGAGACGUCUUAACAUUUUCCUUUUCAGAUGUAUGAACUUUGAGUAAAUUACCCUCUCACACACUUGUGUGUGUGUGUGUGUGUG
RNAcentral lists this unclassified non-coding RNA (681 nucleotides) under Hevea brasiliensis (rubber tree). The record is from RNAcentral. Lineage: Eukaryota; Viridiplantae; Streptophyta; Magnoliopsida; Malpighiales; Euphorbiaceae.